Molecule: non-coding RNA, 1259 nt
Organism: Arvicanthis niloticus (Nile rat)
Lineage: Eukaryota; Metazoa; Chordata; Mammalia; Rodentia; Muridae
Source: RefSeq, a predicted model, not a curated record
CCCAGGUGGCAGAAGAGUGGAGGGAUUUGGGAAAGGUCACAGCCACCCUGCAAAGCAGCCUUGUAGAUAAGUAUCUCUUCAGCAGCCCACCUGCCCUCUGCUGCUGCAUGCACGAAAGGGUCAGCUCUGGAACCCCCAAAGGGAGGGUGGAUGGAUGUCCUGUGACUCUGGCUCUCGAAGAUGCCAUUUGUAAGCCCCCACAGGCUACUCGGUCUUGCAGACACAUGGAGACCUCCUCAGGGUUCCCCGAGGGACAUGUUUCUCCAUCAGCUCAAGGAUCCUGUGACAGGAGGCUCUAAGAGCAGCUAUGAGAUAUCUUACCUUCCCUGGCUCUGGGUUUGGAGGAGAGAUGUAGCAUGACUGUCAGGAAAAAGCAAACCUGAGCCCUGGGGUGGGAUUCAGGGCACUCCCUUCUCUCCUUCACCCUGGUGAAUGGGUGAAUCGCGGUGGUCCUCACAAGCCCUGUGGCCACCUGUUCUUUAUUGUGGGAGUCACGGGAAAGGAGGGGACUGAGGUGAGCAGAGGCUGCUUUCAUUUUCCAGCCAUGCUUUGAAUGGCCACCAAGUACCCUUGUGUGACAGGGCAGGGAUCAGAGAGAGGUACAAGCUUCCGGCAGCCACUGUAGUACUAAGCUCAGAGUUCCAGAUUCCCCCUCUGUCCAACACCCCCUUCUGUUGUCCCUUAGCUGACCCAUUUGCUCCGGGUUUUCUUGGAUCACUCAAGUACCCACAAUGCUCUAGGUGACAGAGGAGGAGGAGGCAGGUGGUUCCUGAGCCAAGGGAGGGCUUGGGCAUGGUCAUCUCCUGGAGCGGGGAUUUGGUGGUGGUAGGGUGCUGGCUCUUCUGUCUUCCAGAUCAUCCAGUGAUGUCUGUGUAGGGGAGGAGCUAGGCCUUCCAUGAUGUCAGGUGAUGCCGUGUGUCGAGGUGUGAACAACAGAGAGAUGGUCCCAUCCUCUGAGAUCUUCAAGUAUGAAAACACAUCAACACAGCCCAGCAAGCGGACAGUUCUGUGCAUCUCCAGACCCUGAUCUACCUUGGAACUCUGGGCAUCCCUUGGAUUCUGACCUCCUGGAACUGGCGAGCAACCUGUCUCCCUGAAGACCCUGUCCUUCCCAGUACCUGAGACGGAGCCCCCUGAAGAAGAGCCAUUUCUGGAAGAUGUACUACAUAGGAUUCUCCCUGCCUUUGAUGGACAGCUCCAGGGGUUGGGACAGGGGGAGGCUGCAGUUUGGAGCCCAGGGGUACUGGAGGUCCCUCCUC